CCUACGGGGUGCAGCCGUGAGGAAUAUUGGUCAAUGGCCGGAAGGCUGAACCAGCCAUGCCGCGUGAAGGUCAGUGCCCUAUGGGCGUUAAACUUCUUUUGUGCAGGAGCAAUAAUGGUCACGUGUGGCCAGACGAGAGUACCGUACGAAUAAGCAUCGGCUAACUCCGUGCCAGCAGCCGCGGUAAUACGGGGGAUGCCAGCGUUAUCCGGAUUUUUUUGGUUUAAAGGGUGCGUAGGCUGUGAGGUAAGUCAGCUGUGAAAUGCCCCCGCUCAACGGGGUGAAGUGCCAUUGAUACUGCCUUGCUGGAAUGCGGAUGACGUGGGAGGAAUGUGUGGUGUAGCGGUGAAAUGCAUAGAUAUCACACAGAACACCGAUUGCGAAGGCAUCUCACGAAUCCGCGAUUGACGCUGAGGCACGAAGGCCAGGGGAGCGAAAGGGAUUAGAUACCCCUGUAGUC
Molecule: ribosomal RNA, 460 nt
Filed under: uncultured bacterium
Lineage: Bacteria
Description: partial 16S ribosomal RNA
Rfam family: Bacterial small subunit ribosomal RNA
Source: RNAcentral